UGAAACCAGAUGUUACUUCUCUUAGUUU
RNAcentral lists this small RNA (28 nucleotides) under Bombyx mori (domestic silkworm). Its description in RNAcentral is "ovarian small RNA-30419". The record is from RNAcentral. Lineage: Eukaryota; Metazoa; Arthropoda; Insecta; Lepidoptera; Bombycidae.